This is a non-coding RNA of Arachis ipaensis, 745 nucleotides long. Lineage: Eukaryota; Viridiplantae; Streptophyta; Magnoliopsida; Fabales; Fabaceae. The record is from RefSeq and is a predicted model, not a curated record.
GAAAUUAGAAGAGAGGGACCUCUUUCUUUGCGGCUCUAGCAUCUCAUUUUGCAAGACGAUGAAACAGGCAUCUCUAUUCUCUUCGCUGAAGCACGCAACAUCAUUCGCAAGAGACUUUUAGUUCAACAAAUUGCCUAUUAACUCAUGGUUGGAUGCGUUCUCAGCACACAGGCAUAUAGGUGAUGCUAUUAGUAUAGUGACUGGAGAAAUUAGGAUGGUACGAUCUCAUAUGUCUGACCAGAAAAAAAGGGUCUGUUACUUUUUUGAACUGCCAUAGUCAUUUUGGUGGUUUUAUUAUCUUGUAAACAAAAGACACAGCCAAAGGUCUUACAUUUUUUGAGACUCUCAACAUUGUAGGAAUUGAUUCAAUUCGGAACAAAGUACCGCAAGAAAUUUAGCUUUGGGUUCAUAACAAACACAGACAUAUUUCUUUCACACCAAAUAUUGGAGGAGGUGAAGUUGGCAUAUUCUUUAGUUGCCCCGAAGCUUGAAAUGUUGCUGAUGUUGAAUGGAAAGUGCCUCUGGUUAGUUGUGUUGAUGACUUAUAGUUUCCAAUUAUUACACUACUUCAAACUGCACUGUCUUAUAUUGUGCAGGCAUGCUAUGAGGAUAGUCUUAUUGUUGAACUUGAAAUUGCGUCUGGGAAGAAUUCAUUCUUAUAGAAAGAGGUCUUGCACGACUUUGGGUACGUUUAGAUCGGGACAAGAUUCAAGAGACUCCAAAAGAAACAGGGGAGAUAGUUUAA